Molecule: small nuclear RNA, 117 nt
Organism: Callithrix jacchus (white-tufted-ear marmoset)
Lineage: Eukaryota; Metazoa; Chordata; Mammalia; Primates; Cebidae
Gene: U5
Rfam family: U5 spliceosomal RNA
About the family: U5 RNA is a component of both types of known spliceosome. The precise function of this molecule is unknown, though it is known that the 5' loop is required for splice site selection and p220 binding, and that both the 3' stem-loop and the Sm site are important for Sm protein binding and cap methylation.
Source: Ensembl
AUGCUCUGGUUUCUCUUCAUAAGGAAUAAAUUUUUUGCCUUUUACUAAAGAUUUUCGUGGAGAGGAACAAUUAUGAGCCUAUAACCAAAUUUUUUGAUGUCCUGCUUAGGUAGGGCU